AAAGGCCUGCAGCUUGCUGCGGGUACUCGAGUGGCGAACGGGUGAGUAACACGUGGGUGAUCUGCCUUGCACUUCGGGAUAAGCUUGGGAAACUGGGUCUAAUACCGGAUAGGACAGCUGUUUAGUGUCAGUUGUGGAAAGUUUUUUCGGUGCAAGAUGAGCUCGCGGCCUAUCAGCUUGUUGGUGGGGUAAUGGCCUACCAAGGCGUCGACGGGUAGCCGGCCUGAGAGGGUGUACGGCCACAUUGGGACUGAGAUACGGCCCAGACUCCUACGGGAGGCAGCAGUGGGGAAUAUUGCACAAUGGGCGGAAGCCUGAUGCAGCGACGCCGCGUGGGGGAUGAAGGCCUUCGGGUUGUAAACUCCUUUCGACAGGGACGAAGCGUAAGUGACGGUACCUGUAUAAGAAGCACCGGCUAACUACGUGCCAGCAGCCGCGGUAAUACGUAGGGUGCGAGCGUUGUCCGGAAUUACUGGGCGUAAAGAGCUCGUAGGUGGUUUGUCGCGUCGUCUGUGAAAUUCCGGGGCUUAACUCCGGGCGUGCAGGCGAUACGGGCUGACUUGAGUGCUGUAGGGGAGACUGGAAUUCCUGGUGUAGCGGUGAAAUGCGCAGAUAUCAGGAGGAACACCGAUGGCGAAGGCAGGUCUCUGGGCAGUAACUGACGCUGAGGAGCGAAAGCAUGGGUAGCGAACAGGAUUAGAUACCCUGGUAGUCCAUGCCGUAAACGGUGGGCGCUAGGUGUAGGGGGCUUCCACGUCUUCUGUGCCGUAGCUAACGCAUUAAGCGCCCCGCCUGGGGAGUACGCCGCAAGGC
This 813-nucleotide ribosomal RNA is filed under the name uncultured Actinomycetes bacterium. RNAcentral describes it as "bacterial SSU rRNA". It matches the Rfam family "Bacterial small subunit ribosomal RNA", at positions 70 to 894 of the family's 1533-position model. Lineage: Bacteria; Bacillati; Actinomycetota; Actinomycetes. The record is from RNAcentral.